AAGCUCGUAGUUGAAUUUCGGGAUUGACACAUUGGUCGUGCCCUAAGGGGUAUGAACUGGUGUAGUCAAUUUCUCACUUUCUGGAGAACCGCGCUGUCCUUAAUUGGGUGACGCAGGGAACCAGGACCUUUACUUUGAAAAAAUUAGAGUGUUUAAAGCAGGCAUUUUGCUUGAAUACAUUAGCAUGGAAUAAUAAAAUAGGACGGCAUGAUUCUAUUUUGUUGGUUUCUAGGAUCACCGUAAUGAUUAAUAGGGAUAGUUGGG
RNAcentral lists this ribosomal RNA (264 nucleotides) under uncultured Glomeromycotina. RNAcentral describes it as "partial 18S ribosomal RNA". It matches the Rfam family "Eukaryotic small subunit ribosomal RNA", at positions 624 to 886 of the family's 1831-position model. Lineage: Eukaryota; Fungi; Glomeromycota. The record is from RNAcentral.